This 404-nucleotide ribosomal RNA is filed under the name Actinomycetes bacterium. RNAcentral describes it as "Actinobacteria bacterium partial 16S ribosomal RNA". It matches the Rfam family "Bacterial small subunit ribosomal RNA", at positions 355 to 776 of the family's 1533-position model. Lineage: Bacteria; Bacillati; Actinomycetota; Actinomycetes. The record is from RNAcentral.
UGGGGAAUAUUGGACAAUGGGCGCAAGCCUGAUCCAGCCAUGCCGCGUGAGUGAUGAAUGCCCUAGGGUUGUAAAGCUCUUUCACCGGUGAAGAUAAUGACGGUAACCGGAGAAGAAGCCCCGGCUAACUUCGUGCCAGCAGCCGCGGUAAUACGAAGGGGGCUAGCGUUGUUCGGAGUUACUGGGCGUAAAGCGGACGUCGGCGGACUUUUAAGUCAGGGGUGAAAUCCCGGGGCUCAACCCCGGAACUGCCUUUGAUACUGGAAGUCUUGAAUAUGGUAGAGGUGAGUGGAAUUCCGAGUGUAGAAGUGAAAUUCGUAGAUAUUCGGUGGAACACCAGUGGCGAAGGCGGCUCACUGGACCAUUACUGACGCUGAGGUGCGAAAGCGUGGGGAGCAAACAGG